This 494-nucleotide ribosomal RNA is filed under the name uncultured bacterium. Its description in RNAcentral is "partial 16S ribosomal RNA". It matches the Rfam family "Bacterial small subunit ribosomal RNA", at positions 28 to 507 of the family's 1533-position model. The record is from RNAcentral.
GACGAACGCUGGCGGCGUGCUUAACACAUGCAAGUCGAACGGAAAGGCCUGCUUUCCCUUGUGGAUUGCGGGUACUCGAGUGGCGAACGGGUGAGUAACACGUGAGUGAUCUGCCCCCAACUUGGGUAUAAGCCUGGGAAACUGGGUCUAAUUCCCGAUAGGACUGCAGUGUGGUGCCUGUGGUGGAAAACGAUUUUCUAGUGGUUGGGGAUGAGCUCGCGGCCUAUCAGCUUGUUGGUGGGGUAAUGGCCUACCAAGGCGGCGACGGGUAGCCGGCCUGAGAGGGUGGACGGCAACAUUGGGACUGAGAUACGGCCCAGACUCCUACGGGAGGCAGCAGUGGGGAAUAUUGCACAAUGGGCGGAAGCCUGAUGCAGCGACGCCGCGUGGGGGAUGACGGCCUUCGGGUUGUAAACUCCUUGCGACCGCGAGGAAGCCACCUGGUUGGAAGGGUGGUGACGGUAGUGGUAGAAGAAGCACCGGCUAACUACGUG